GAUGAACGCUGGCAGCGUGCUUAACACAUGCAAGUCGAACGAAGCACCAUGGAAAGAUUCUUCGGAAGAUUGAAGUGGUGACUGAGUGGCGGACGGGUGAGUAACGCGUGGGUAACCUGCCUCAUACAGGGGGAUAACAGUUAGAAAUGACUGCUAAUACCGCAUAAGCGCACAGUAUCGCAUGAUACAGUGUGAAAAACUCCGGUGGUAUGAGAUGGACCCGCGUCUGGUUAGCUAGUUGGUAAGGUAACGGCUUACCAAGGCGACGAUCAGUAGCCGGCCUGAGAGGGUGAUCGGCCACAUUGGGACUGAGACACGGCCCAA
Molecule: ribosomal RNA, 324 nt
Filed under: uncultured bacterium
Lineage: Bacteria
Description: bacterial SSU rRNA
Rfam family: Bacterial small subunit ribosomal RNA
Source: RNAcentral